GUGCAGCAGGCGCGAAAACUUUACAAUGUGCGAAAGCACGAUAAGGGAACUCUGAGUGCCUCCUAAGGAGGCUGUUCAGGUGUCUAAAAAGCACCUGGAGUAAGGGCUGGGUAAGACCGGUGCCAGCCGCCGCGGUAACACCGGCAGCCCAGGUGGUAGCCACUUUUAUUGGGUCUAAAGCGUCCGUAGCCGGUUGAGUAAGUUCCUUGGGAAAUUUGGCUGCUCAACAGUCAAGCUUCCAGGGAAUACUGCUCGACUUGGGGACUGGGAGAGGUCAGAGGUACUCCGAGGGGUAGGGUGAAAUCCAUUAAUCCCGUGGGGGACCACCGGUAGCGAAGGCGUCUGACCAGACCAGGUCCGACGGUGAGGGACGAAGGCUAGGGUCG
This 386-nucleotide ribosomal RNA is filed under the name uncultured microorganism. RNAcentral describes it as "bacterial SSU rRNA". It matches the Rfam family "Archaeal small subunit ribosomal RNA", at positions 330 to 719 of the family's 1478-position model. The record is from RNAcentral.